RNAcentral lists this ribosomal RNA (245 nucleotides) under uncultured bacterium. Its description in RNAcentral is "partial 16S ribosomal RNA". It matches the Rfam family "Bacterial small subunit ribosomal RNA", at positions 524 to 768 of the family's 1533-position model. The record is from RNAcentral.
UACGGAGGGUGCAAGCGUUGUUCGGAAUCACUGGGCGUAAAGCGCGUGUAGGCGGCCUUUUAAGUCUGAUGUGAAAGCCCGGGGCUCACCCCCGGAAGAGCAUUGGAAACUGGGAGGCUUGAGUACCGGAGAGGAAGGUGGAAUUCCAGGUGUAGCGGUGAAAUGCGUAGAUAUCUGGAGGAACACCGGUGGCGAAGGCGGCCUUCUGGACGGAUACUGACGCUGAGACGCGAAAGCGUGGGGAG